Molecule: ribosomal RNA, 253 nt
Filed under: uncultured bacterium
Lineage: Bacteria
Description: partial 16S ribosomal RNA
Rfam family: Bacterial small subunit ribosomal RNA
Source: RNAcentral
GACAGAGGGUGCAAGCGUUGUUCGGAAUUAUUGGGCGUAAAGGGCGCGUAGGCGGCCUUGUAAGUCAGAUGUGAAAUCCCUGGGCUUAACCCAGGAAGUGCAUCUGAUACUGCUUGGCUUGAGUGCCGGAGAGGGUGGUGGAAUUCCCAGUGUAGAGGUGAAAUUCGUAGAUAUUGGGAGGAACACCGGUGGCGAAGGCGACCACCUGGACGGACACUGACGCUGAGGCGCGAAAGCGUGGGGAGCAAACAGG